GAGAGGAGGAGAGAGAGGGAGGAGGGAGAGAGCGAGCCAACGAGGAGAGAGAGCGAGCCAACGAGGAGAGAGAGCGAGCCAACGAGGAGAGAGAGCGAGCCAACGAGGAGAGAGCGAGCGAGGAGAGAGCGAGCGAGGAGAGAGCGAGCGAGGAGAGAGCGAGCGAGGAGAGAGCGAGCGAGGAGAGAGAGGGAGAAGAGAGCGAGGCGAGAGCGAGGCGAGAGCGAGGAGAGAGCGAGGAGAGAGCGAGCGAGGAGAGAGGGAGGGGAGAGAGAGGGAGGAGAGAGCGAGCGAGGAGAGAGCGAGCGAGAGAGAGGAAAGAGAGGAGAGAGCGAGCCAACGAGGAGAGAGAGCGAGAGAGAGCGAGCCAACGAGGAGAGAGAGCGAGCCAACGAGGAGAGAGAGCGAGCGAGGAGAGCGGAGAGAGCGAGGAGAGCGGAGAGAGCGAGGAGAGAGAGAGAGCGAGGAGAGCGAGGAGAGAGCGAGCGAGGAGAGAGCGAGCGAGGAGAGAGGGAGGGGAGAGAGAGGGAGGAGGGAGAGAGCGAGCCAACGAGGAGAGAGAGCGAGCCAACGAGGAGAGAGAGCGAGCCAACGAGGAGAGAGCGAGCCAACGAGGAGAGAGCGAGCGAGGAGAGAGCGAGCGAGGAGAGAACAAGCGAGGAGAGAGCGAGCGAGGAGAGAGAGGGAGAGUGAGCGAGGGAGAGUGAGCGAGGAGAGAGGGGGAGGGGAGAGAGAGGGAGGAGAGAGAGCGAGCGAGGAGAGAGAGCGAGGAGAGAGAGAGCGAGGAGAGAGAGCGAGCGAGGAGAGAGAGCGAGCAGGGAGAGAGCGAGCAGGGAGAGAGCGAGAAAAGAGAGAGCGAGGAGAGAGAGAGCGGGGAGAGAGAGAGCGAGGAGAGAGCGAGCGAGGAGAGAGAGCGAGCAGGGAGAGAGCGAGGAGGGAGAGCGCGAGUGAGGAAAGUGGCUAAGUUGUGAUUCCCUCCCCUUCUCCUGGUUGCAGGGGCGGCAAUCCCGGGGGGGACGGGGGACACACGACCCCCCCAUCCUGGGAAAAAUAUGAUAUCACUGAAACAUAACUAUGUAAUUUAAAUAAUAUUAAUAAUACGCAAUGAAAGCAAUUGUGCUGAUUAUAGACACUUAAUAGCGCGUUUUUAAGUUUCAAAAGAUUGCGAUCCCCCCAUCCUUUGCCUCACAAUGGUUUGAUCCACUGCCAGUUCCUUAGUUGGCAAGGUAACAGAGGGGUCGUAUCUACUGUCUGAAAGGCACUCAAUGAACGUAACUGACGUGAGGUUAAUCCAGUCAAUCGCGCACACACACUAGCUGAAUAUGCAGAGCUAGCGCGCAAAUAUUAACUAUUAAGCUAGCUAGUACCUAUUCCAUUUAUGUGGCGUC
Molecule: long non-coding RNA, 1388 nt
Filed under: Salmo salar (Atlantic salmon)
Lineage: Eukaryota; Metazoa; Chordata; Actinopteri; Salmoniformes; Salmonidae
Description: lncRNA (ENSSSAG00000118335.1)
Source: RNAcentral